RNAcentral lists this unclassified non-coding RNA (300 nucleotides) under Phylloporus sp. Its description in RNAcentral is "partial contains small subunit ribosomal RNA and internal transcribed spacer 1". The stretch from base 1 to 46 matches the Rfam family "Eukaryotic small subunit ribosomal RNA", at positions 1786 to 1831 of the family's 1831-position model. Lineage: Eukaryota; Fungi; Basidiomycota; Agaricomycetes; Boletales; Boletaceae. The record is from RNAcentral.
AAGUCGUAACAAGGUUUCCGUAGGUGAACCUGCGGAAGGAUCAUUAAUAAGUCGUCCUACUUACGGGUAGGAUAGAUUCCACGUAUGUUAACAGUUCAGAUCUCUCUCUUAGGAAACUCUGAGAGGGGCUGGCUGGACUUCUUGAUAUUUGAACCUGUCGAAAGACAGGAUCGUCUCGCAUGAUAGAGGUUUGCGGUGGCGGAUAGUAAUAUCUGCCUUUGGGAUGAAUACUUAAAACCCGUGUCUAUCUUCUUUGUUGCUUUGGCGGGUCGCCUCACGGCGUCGGCUCCGGCUGACCGU